Molecule: ribosomal RNA, 498 nt
Filed under: uncultured bacterium
Lineage: Bacteria
Description: partial 16S ribosomal RNA
Rfam family: Bacterial small subunit ribosomal RNA
Source: RNAcentral
AUUGAACGCUGGCGGCAUGCCUUACACAUGCAAGUCGAACGGUAACAGGUCUUCGGAUGCUGACGAGUGGCGAACGGGUGAGUAAUACAUCGGAACGUGCCUAGUAGUGGGGGAUAACUACUCGAAAGAGUGGCUAAUACCGCAUGAGAUCUACGGAUGAAAGCAGGGGAUCGCAAGACCUUGUGCUACUAGAGCGGCCGAUGGCAGAUUAGGUAAUUGGUGGGAUAAAAGCUUACCAAGCCGACGAUCUGUAGCUGGUCUGAGAGGACGAUCAGCCACACUGGGAAUGAGACACGGCCCAGACUCCUACGGGAGGCAGCAGUGGGGAAUUUUGGACAAUGGGCGCAAGCCUGAUCCAGCAAUGCCGCGUGCAGGAUGAAGGCCUUCGGGUUGUAAACUGCUUUUGUACGGAACGAAAAGCCCUGGGUUAAUACCCUGGGGUCAUGACGGUACCGUAAGAAUAAGCACCGGCUAACUACGUGCCAGCAGCCGCGGUAA